Molecule: small nuclear RNA, 105 nt
Organism: Heteronotia binoei (common prickly gecko)
Lineage: Eukaryota; Metazoa; Chordata; Lepidosauria; Squamata; Gekkonidae
Source: RefSeq, a predicted model, not a curated record
GGGAUUGGAUCUAGCACAGAUACUAAAAUUGGAAUAAUAAAGAGAAGAUUAGCAUGGCUCCUCUGAAAGGAUGUCAUGCAAAUUUCUGAAGUUAAACUAAAAUAA